Molecule: long non-coding RNA, 427 nt
Organism: Tachyglossus aculeatus (Australian echidna)
Lineage: Eukaryota; Metazoa; Chordata; Mammalia; Monotremata; Tachyglossidae
Exons: 4
Source: RefSeq, a predicted model, not a curated record
ACCUGUUUCCUUGUUAUAGGGGUCCAGCACUCCAUCUGACCAUCAUCAGAAACUUUGUUCCUGAAGUGGAAACAGGAUGAAGAAACAGUUGUCAUCCCCGGAAGCGUCAGAAGACAUAGACGGACACAGAUGAGGGAGAAUUCAUGGCAGGAGAAUCACCCCAGGGAACUAUGAAGGAGUUUUGUGAUCGUACAUAAAGAGAAUCCUGAGUUACUGAAGGCACCAUCAGCAUACCCAUUCAUGAAACUGCAUCGAAGACAUCCAGCCAGCCAGCGUCUCUACAAUGUUGGAGACAGCGCAGCCCAAGCCAGAGCAGAGUCUGGGAAUAUUUCUGGGUUUGUUUUUUUUUAUCCUCCUUCUUCUAAUUUUCUUGUUGAAAAGACUGAGUGAUCCUUGUGCUCUGAUUGUGCUACUGGAACCCCCCAAC